RNAcentral lists this ribosomal RNA (875 nucleotides) under uncultured bacterium. RNAcentral's name for it is "bacterial SSU rRNA". It matches the Rfam family "Bacterial small subunit ribosomal RNA", at positions 8 to 916 of the family's 1533-position model. The record is from RNAcentral.
AGAGUUUGAUCAUGGCUCAGAACGAACGCUGGCGGCAGGCCUAACACAUGCAAGUCGAACGCUGUAGCAAUACGGAGUGGCAGACGGGUGAGUAACGCGUGGGAACAUACCCCUCGGUUCGGAAUAACUCAGGGAAACUUGAGCUAAUACCGGAUACGUCCGAGGUUUUAAUCGACCUUGGAGAAAGAUUUAUCGCCGGAGGAUUGGCCCGCGUCUGAUUAGCUUGUUGGUGAGGUAAUGGCUCACCAAGGCGACGAUCAGUAGCUGGUCUGAGAGGAUGAUCAGCCACAUUGGGACUGAGACACGGCCCAAACUCCUACGGGAGGCAGCAGUGGGGAAUAUUGGACAAUGGGCGAAAGCCUGAUCCAGCCAUGCCGCGUGAGUGAUGAAGGCCUUAGGGUUGUAAAGCUCUUUUACCCGGGAAGAUAAUGACGGUACCGGGAGAAUAAGCCCCGGCUAACUUCGUGCCAGCAGCCGCGGUAAUACGAAGGGGGCUAGCGUUGUUCGGAAUUACUGGGCGUAAAGCGCACGUAGGCGGAUCCUUAAGUCAGGGGUGAAAUCCCGAGGCUCAACCUCGGAACUGCCUUUGAUACUGGGGAUAUCGAGUCCGGGAGAGGUGAGUGGAACUGCGAGUGUAGAGGUGAAAUUCGUAGAUAUUCGCAAGAACACCAGUGGCGAAGGCGGCUCACUGGCCCGGUACUGACGCUGAGGUGCGAAAGCGUGGGGAGCAAACAGGAUUAGAUACCCUGGUAGUCCACGCCGUAAACGAUGGAUGCUAGCCGUUAGACAGCUUGCUGUUUAGUGGCGCAGUUAACGCGUUAAGCAUCCCGCCUGGGGAGUACGGUCGCAAGAUUAAAACUCAAAGGAAUUGACGG